RNAcentral lists this ribosomal RNA (306 nucleotides) under uncultured bacterium. RNAcentral describes it as "partial 16S ribosomal RNA". It matches the Rfam family "Bacterial small subunit ribosomal RNA", at positions 505 to 809 of the family's 1533-position model. The record is from RNAcentral.
GACAGCAGCAGCCGCGGGAAUACAGAGGGUGCGAGCGUUAAUCGGAUUUACUGGGCGUAAAGCGUGCGUAGGCGGCUUCUUAAGUCGGAUGUGAAAUCCCUGAGCUUAACUUAGGAAUUGCAUUCGAUACUGGGAAGCUAGAGUAUGGGAGAGGAUGGUAGAAUUCCAGGUGUAGCGGUGAAAUGCGUAGAGAUCUGGAGGAAUACCGAUGGCGAAGGCAGCCAUCUGGCCUAAUACUGACGCUGAGGUACGAAAGCAUGGGGAGCAAACAGGAUUAGAUACCCCCGUAGUCCCUGUCUCUUAUAA